UCGUCAGGUGGGAUAAUCCUUACCUGUUCCUCCUUUGGAGGACAGAUGAAACAUGAUGAUUAAAGAUGCACGAAACGUGAUUAACGUCUCUGCAUAAUCAGGACUUACAACACCCUGAUUGCUCCUAUCUGAU
This 133-nucleotide small nucleolar RNA is filed under the name Cebus imitator (Panamanian white-faced capuchin). Its description in RNAcentral is "U8 small nucleolar RNA (ENSCCAG00000000553.1)". It matches the Rfam family "U8 small nucleolar RNA". From Rfam's summary of the family: U8 is a member of the C/D class of snoRNA which contain the C (UGAUGA) and D (CUGA) box motifs. U8 is the RNA component of a small complex (the U8 snoRNP) which is required for accumulation of mature large subunit ribosomal RNAs, 5.8S and 28S rRNAs. U8 RNA has been identified in human, mouse, rat and Xenopus. Lineage: Eukaryota; Metazoa; Chordata; Mammalia; Primates; Cebidae. The record is from Rfam by way of RNAcentral.